GAUGAACGCUGGCGGCGUGCUUAACACAUGCAAGUCGAACGGAAAGGCCCAAGCUUGCUUGGGUACUCGAGUGGCGAACGGGUGAGUAACUCGUGGGUGAUCUGCCCUGCACUUCGGGAUAAGCCUGGGAAACUGGGUCUAAUACCGGAUAGGACCACAUUUUGGAUGGUGUGGUGGAAAGUUUUUCGGUGUGGGAUGAGCUCGCGGCCUAUCAGCUUGUUGGUGGGGUAAUGGCCUACCAAGGCGUCGACGGGUAGCCGGCCUGAGAGGGUGUACGGCCACAUUGGGACUGAGAUACGGCCCAGACUCCUACGGGAGGCAGCAGUGGGGAAUAUUGCACAAUGGGCGCAAGCCUGAUGCAGCGACGCCGCGUGGGGGAUGACGGCCUUCGGGUUGUAAACUCCUUUCGCUAGGGACGAAGCGUUUUUGUGACGGUACCUGGAGAAGAAGCACCGGCUAACUACGUG
Molecule: ribosomal RNA, 467 nt
Filed under: uncultured bacterium
Lineage: Bacteria
Description: partial 16S ribosomal RNA
Rfam family: Bacterial small subunit ribosomal RNA
Source: RNAcentral